AGAGUUUGAUCCUGGCUCAGGAUUAAUGCUGACGGCGUGCCUAAUCUAUGUAAGUUGAUGGAAUUUCCAGCAAUGGUUGUUCCAUGGCAGACGAGUGAGUAACGCGUAGGAAUCUACCUUUAAGAUGGGGAUAACUCUGGGAAACCGGAGAUAAUACCCAAUGUGUUCGCAAGAACAAAGUCGCAAGACGCUUAAAGAUGAGCCUGCGUCCUAUCAGCUAGUUGGCGGGGUAAAAGCCCACCAAGGCUAUGACGGGUAGGGGGCGUGAGAGCGUGAACCCCCACGAUGGCACUGAGAUACGGGCCAUACACCUACGGGCGGCAGCAAGUAGGAAUAUUGCGCAAUGGAUCGAAAGAUCUGACGCAGCGACGCCGUGUGAAGGAAGAAGGCUUUCGGGUCGUAAACUUAUGUUAAAAAGGAGCGGCAAACUUCGUGCCAGCAGCAGCGGUAAUACGGGGGCUCCUAGCAUUAUCCGGUUCUAUUGGGCGUAAAGAGUUCUGUAGGUGGUGUUGUAAGUUACAGGUUAAAACCUCCGGCUUAACUGGAGAUGUGCUUGUAAUACUGCAGUACUAGAGGCAAACAGGGGAAAGUAGAACGCAUGGUGUAGUGGUAAAAUACGUUGAUAUCAUGCGGAAUACCGAAGGCGUAGGCAGCUUUCAGGGUUUGUCCUGACACUGAGAGACGAAAGCGUGGGGAGCAAAACGGAUUAGAUACCCGUGUAGCCCACGCCGUAAACUAUGUCCACUAGAUUCGUGGGUAAGAUUUAUCUUACUUGCGUGUCGCAGUUAACACAUUAAGUGGACCGCCUGAGGAGUACGGUCGCAAGGCUAAAACUCAAAGGAAUUGACGGGGAUCCGCACAAGCGGUGGAGCGCCUGCUUUAAUUCGAUGAUCAGCGAAGAACCUUACCGAGGUUUGACAUGCAACCGCAAAUCCCAUGAAAGUGGGACCCCUUCGAGGGUGUUGCACAGGUAUUGCAUGGCUGUUGUCAGCUCGUGUCGUGAGAUGUACCGUUAAGUCGGGUAACGAGCGCAACCCUUACUGCUAGUUGUAUCACUCUAGCGGAACUGCCCUGGCAACAGGGAGGAAGGAGAGGAAGACGACAAGUCGGCAUGGUCCUUAUGCCUCGGGCAAGACAGGCGCUACAAUGGCCAGUACAAUGGGCAGCAACAUAGCAAUAUGAAGCUAAUCUCAUAAAGCUGGUCUCAGUUCAGAUUGAGGGCUGAAACUCGCCCUCAUGAAGUUGGAAUCGCUAGCAAUCGUAGGUCAGCUAUACUACGGUGAAUACGUUCUCGGAUCUUGUACACACUGCCCGUCAAGUCAGCAGAGUUGGGAAUACCCGAAGUAUCUAUUAAAUUAGGUCCUAAGGUAGGCUCAGUGAUGAGGAUUAAGUCGUAACAAGGUA
RNAcentral lists this ribosomal RNA (1404 nucleotides) under metagenome. RNAcentral describes it as "bacterial SSU rRNA". It matches the Rfam family "Bacterial small subunit ribosomal RNA". The record is from RNAcentral.